GUGAGAUCACGCCACUGAACUCCAGCCUGGGUGACAGAGCCAGACCCUAUCUAAAACAAACAAACAAACAAACAAACAAAACUGUUGCAUUAUUGAACUGCAUAUACUCCUCCCAAAAGCCCUACGAGUUUGAUCAAAACCACCUGGAGAGCCUGUGAAAACAGAUUCUGAAUCAGUGAGGCUGGGGCUGGGUUCGAGAUUCUGUGGUUCUACAAGUUCUCAGGGGAUGC
RNAcentral lists this long non-coding RNA (230 nucleotides) under Homo sapiens (human). RNAcentral describes it as "non-protein coding lnc-TP53RK-3:1". Lineage: Eukaryota; Metazoa; Chordata; Mammalia; Primates; Hominidae. The record is from RNAcentral.